This 164-nucleotide ribosomal RNA is filed under the name uncultured bacterium. RNAcentral describes it as "partial 16S ribosomal RNA". It matches the Rfam family "Bacterial small subunit ribosomal RNA", at positions 1337 to 1500 of the family's 1533-position model. The record is from RNAcentral.
AGUAAUCGUAGGUCAGCAUACUACGGUGAAUACGUUCCCGGGUCUUGUACACACCGCCCGUCACACCAUGGGAGCCGGAAAUGCCCGAAGCCAGUGACCCAACCUUAGGGAGGGAGCUGUCGAAGGUGGAGCCGGUAACUGGGGUGAAGUCGUAACAAGGUAUC